RNAcentral lists this ribosomal RNA (465 nucleotides) under uncultured Klebsiella sp. RNAcentral's name for it is "bacterial SSU rRNA". It matches the Rfam family "Bacterial small subunit ribosomal RNA", at positions 338 to 795 of the family's 1533-position model. The record is from RNAcentral. Lineage: Bacteria; Pseudomonadati; Pseudomonadota; Gammaproteobacteria; Enterobacterales; Enterobacteriaceae.
CCUACGGGCGGCUGCAGUGGGGAAUAUUGCACAAUGGGCGCAAGCCUGAUGCAGCCAUGCCGCGUGUGUGAAGAAGGCCUUCGGGUUGUAAAGCACUUUCAGCGGGGAGGAAGGCGUUAAGGUUAAUAACCUUGUCGAUUGACGUUACCCGCAGAAGAAGCACCGGCUAACUCCGUGCCAGCAGCCGCGGUAAUACGGAGGGUGCAAGCGUUAAUCGGAAUUACUGGGCGUAAAGCGCACGCAGGCGGUCUGUCAAGUCGGAUGUGAAAUCCCCGGGCUCAACCUGGGAACUGCAUUCGGAACUGGCAGGCUAGAGUCUUGUAGAGGGGGGUAGAAUUCCAGGUGUAGCGGUGAAAUGCGUAGAGAUCUGGAGGAAUACCGGUGGCGAAGGCGGCCCCCUGGACAAAGACUGACGCUCAGGUGCGAAAGCGUGGGGAGCAAACAGGAUUAGAUACCCUAGUAGUC